AGUGCAGAAUAACCCUGCGAAAGCAGAGCUAAUACUGCAUGUGGUUGUCGGAUGGCAUCAUCUGACAACUAAAGUCGUAAGACGCUCUCAGAUGGGCCCGCGGCCUAUUAGCUAGUUGGUGAGGUAACGGCCCACCAAGGCUAUGAUGGGUAGCUGGUCUGAGAGGACGGACAGCCACACUGGGACUGAGACACGGCCCAG
RNAcentral lists this ribosomal RNA (201 nucleotides) under uncultured bacterium. RNAcentral describes it as "partial 16S ribosomal RNA". It matches the Rfam family "Bacterial small subunit ribosomal RNA", at positions 135 to 334 of the family's 1533-position model. The record is from RNAcentral.